Small nucleolar RNA from Homo sapiens (human), 88 nucleotides. RefSeq annotates it as small nucleolar RNA, C/D box 123. The record is from RefSeq and is marked validated. The transcript has a single exon. NCBI's taxonomy places the organism in Eukaryota, Metazoa, Chordata, Mammalia, Primates, Hominidae.
AAAACACUUGGUGAAAAUGAUGAAUUCUGGGGCGCUGAUUCAUGUGACUUGAAAAAUGCCAUCCAUUUCCUGAUUCACCUCAAUUCUG